GAUGAAGAACGUAGCGAAAUGCGAUACGUAAUGUGAAUUGCAAAUUCAGUGAAUCAUCGAGUCUUUGAACGCACAUUGCGCCCCCUGGUAUUCCGGGGGGCAUGCCUGUCCGAGCGUCAUUGCUGCCCUCAAGCACGGCUUGUGUGUUGGGCCCCGUCCUCCGAUCCCGGGGGACGGGCCCGAAAGGCAGCGGCGGCACCGCGUCCGGUCCUCGAGCGUAUGGGGCUUUGUCACCCGCUCUGUAGGCCCGGCCGGCGCUUGCCGAUCAACCCAAAUUUUUAUCCAGGUUGACCUCGGAUCAGGUAGGGAUACCCGUUGAACUUAAGCAUAUCAAUAAGCGGAGGA
RNAcentral lists this unclassified non-coding RNA (345 nucleotides) under soil metagenome. RNAcentral's name for it is "partial contains 5.8S ribosomal RNA, internal transcribed spacer 2, and large subunit ribosomal RNA". The stretch from base 1 to 119 matches the Rfam family "5.8S ribosomal RNA", at positions 35 to 154 of the family's 154-position model. The record is from RNAcentral.